UAUCUCUGUAGAGUCUGCAUAUCAAUAAGCGGAGGAAAAGAAACUAACAAGGAUUCCCUAGUAACGGCGAGUGAAGCGGGAAGAGCUCAAAUUUGAAAUCUUCAAGGUUUGACCUUGACGAAUUGUAGUUUAAAGAAGUGUUUUCGGUUAGAGGAGUAGUAAAAGUUCUUUGGAAUAGGACAUCAUAGAGGGUGAGAAUCCCGUAUUUGACUAUUCUUUCUAGCUUUGUGAUACACUUUCAAAGAGUCGGAUUGUUUGGGAAUGCAGUCCAAAAUGGGUGGUAAAUUUCAUCUAAAGCUAAAUAUUGGCGAGAGACCGAUAGCGAACAAGUACCGUGAGGGAAAGAUGAAAAGAACUUUGAAAAGAGAGUUAAACAGUACGUGAAAUUGUCAAAAGGGAAGCGUUUGACACCAGUGUUGUUUUUCCGAAAAUCAAUUAAAAAUUGAUUCAUGCCAGGUUGUAUUGACCUUAUCAGCUUGCAAUUUGGUUUUGGGUCUCUUUUUGAUGCACUUUUCGGUUAACAAGUCAACAUCAAUUUCCUUUGCUGUAAAAAGGUAAGAGGAAGGUGGCUUCAAUUUCGGUUGAAGUGUUUAUAGCCUUUUAUCUCUGCAGUCGGGGAGAUUGAGGUCUGCAGCGUAGAUCCUUCGGGGCUAGAUACAUUUAUGCUAAGUUAUAGCUUUUCAUAGACAACUUGUUGACUAUGAUUAGUCAUGUAGCUUACUCGUAAGUGCUAUUUUACCUACGCUUAGGAUGUUGAAGACUCUACAGAGAUA
Molecule: ribosomal RNA, 773 nt
Filed under: uncultured Neocallimastigales
Lineage: Eukaryota; Fungi; Neocallimastigomycota; Neocallimastigomycetes; Neocallimastigales
Description: partial large subunit ribosomal RNA
Rfam family: Eukaryotic large subunit ribosomal RNA
Source: RNAcentral